AUUGAACGCUGGCGGCAUGCCUUACACAUGCAAGUCGAACGGUAACAGGUCUUCGGAUGCUGACGAGUGGCGCACGGGUGAGUAAUACAUCGGAUCGUGCCCGAUCGUGGGGGAUAACGAGGCGAAAGCUUUGCUAAUACCGCAUACGAUCUACGGAUGAAAGCGGGGGAUCUUCGGACCUCGCGCGGACGGAGCGGCCGAUGGCAGAUUAGGUAGUUGGUGGGAUAAAAGCUUACCAAGCCGACGAUCUGUAGCUGGUCUGAGAGGAUGAUCAGCCACACUGGGACUGAGACACGGCCCAGACUCCUACGGGAGGCAGCAGUGGGGAAUUUUGGACAAUGGGCGAAAGCCUGAUCCAGCCAUGCCGCGUGCAGGAUGAAGGCCUUCGGGUUGUAAACUGCUUUUGUACGGAACGAAAAGCCUCUUUCUAAUAAAGAGGGGUCAUGACGGUACCGUAAGAAUAAGCACCGGCUAACUACGUG
Molecule: ribosomal RNA, 482 nt
Filed under: uncultured bacterium
Lineage: Bacteria
Description: partial 16S ribosomal RNA
Rfam family: Bacterial small subunit ribosomal RNA
Source: RNAcentral